This 301-nucleotide ribosomal RNA is filed under the name uncultured bacterium. RNAcentral describes it as "partial 16S ribosomal RNA". It matches the Rfam family "Bacterial small subunit ribosomal RNA", at positions 509 to 808 of the family's 1533-position model. The record is from RNAcentral.
CAGUAGCCACGGGAAUACGGAGGGUGCAAGCGUUAAUCGGAAUUACUGGGCGUAAAGCGUGCGUAGGCGGUGAGUUAAGUCUGCUGUGAAAUCCCCGGGCUCAACCUGGGAAUGGCAGUGGAUACUGGCUCGCUAGAGUGUGUCAGAGGAUGGUGGAAUUCCCGGUGUAGCGGUGAAAUGCGUAGAGAUCGGGAGGAACAUCAGUGGCGAAGGCGGCCAUCUGGGACAACACUGACGCUGAGGCACGAAAGCGUGGGGAGCAAACAGGAUUAGAUACCCCGGUGUCCCUGUCUCUUAUACA